AAGUUCCAUGGACUGGAAAUGUUUUUCACAAUUUUUCACUGAAGUCUUAGGUGUGCCAUUCUCUCAGGCAGGAGAUUGAGACUCUCUCUCUCUCAGUUAAUGAGAUUAAGCAUU
Molecule: unclassified non-coding RNA, 114 nt
Organism: Panthera pardus (leopard)
Lineage: Eukaryota; Metazoa; Chordata; Mammalia; Carnivora; Felidae
Source: Ensembl